AGUGAACGCUGGCGGCAGGCCUAACACAUGCAAGUCGAACGGCAGCACAGUAAGAGCUUGCUCUUACGGGUGGCGAGUGGCGGACGGGUGAGGAAUAUAUCGGAAUCUACUUUUUCGUGGGGGAUAACGUAGGGAAACUUACGCUAAUACCGCAUACGACCUACGGGUGAAAGCAUGGGAUCUUCGGACCUUGCGCGAUUGAAUGAGCCGAUGUCGGAUUAGCUAGUUGGCGGGGUAAAGGCCCACCCAGGCGACGAUCCGUAGCUGGUCUGAGAGGAUGAUCGGCCACCCUAGAACUGAGACACGGUCCAGAGUCCUACGGGAGGCAGCAGUGGGGAAUAUUGGACAAUGGGCGCAAGCCUGAUCCAGCCAUACCGCGUGGGUGAAGAAGGCGUUCGGGUUGUAAAGCCCUUUUGUUGGGAAAGAAAAGCAGCAGGUUAAUACCCCGCUGUUCUGACGGUACCCAAAAAAUAAGCACCGGCUAACUUCGUG
Molecule: ribosomal RNA, 492 nt
Filed under: uncultured bacterium
Lineage: Bacteria
Description: partial 16S ribosomal RNA
Rfam family: Bacterial small subunit ribosomal RNA
Source: RNAcentral